Molecule: ribosomal RNA, 613 nt
Filed under: uncultured bacterium
Lineage: Bacteria
Description: bacterial SSU rRNA
Rfam family: Bacterial small subunit ribosomal RNA
Source: RNAcentral
CCUACGGGAGGCAGCAGUAAGGAAUAUUGGUCAAUGGAGGCAACUCUGAACCAGCCAUGCCGCGUGCAGGAUGACGGCCCUAUGGGUUGUAAACUGCUUUUAUACAAGAGAAAACCCUGGUACGUGUACCAGGUUGAUAGUAUUGUAAGAAUAAGCAUCGGCUAACUUCGUGCCAGCAGCCGCGGUAAGACGAAGGAUGCAAGCGUUAUCCGGAUUCAUUGGGUUUAAAGGGUGCGUAGGCGGACUGAUAAGUCAGUGGUGAAAUCUCUUUGCUUAACAAAGAAACUGCCAUUGAUACUGUCGGUCUAGAGUAUAGAUGACGUUGGCGGAAUAUGACAUGUAGUGGUGAAAUACUUAGAUAUGUCAUAGAACACCGAUUGCGAAGGCAGCUAACGAAACUAUAACUGACGCUGAGGCACGAAAGUGCGGGGAUCAAACAGGAUUAGAUACCCUGGUAGUCCGCACCGUAAACGAUGAUUACUCGUUGUUGGUCGAUAUGACAGUCAGCGACCAAGCGAAAGCGAUAAGUAAUCCACCUGGGGAGUACGCCGGCAACGGUUGAAACGUCAAANAGAGUAGAGNGNGAGAGNGCGAGGCGACGACGAGGGAGAGG